RNAcentral lists this ribosomal RNA (467 nucleotides) under uncultured bacterium. Its description in RNAcentral is "partial 16S ribosomal RNA". It matches the Rfam family "Bacterial small subunit ribosomal RNA", at positions 28 to 507 of the family's 1533-position model. The record is from RNAcentral.
GAUGAACGCUGGCGGCGCGCUUAACACAUGCAAGUCGAACGGAAAGGCCCAAGCUUGCUUGGGUACUCGAGUGGCGAACGGGUGAGUAACACGUGGGUGAUCUGCCCUGCACUUCGGGAUAAGCCUGGGAAACUGGGUCUAAUACCGGAUAGGACCACAUUUUGGAUGGUGUGGUGGAAAGUUUUUCGGUGUGGGAUGAGCUCGCGGCCUAUCAGCUUGUUGGUGGGGUAAUGGCCUACCAAGGCGUCGACGGGUAGCCGGCCUGAGAGGGUGUACGGCCACAUUGGGACUGAGAUACGGCCCAGACUCCUACGGGAGGCAGCAGUGGGGAAUAUUGCACAAUGGGCGCAAGCCUGAUGCAGCGACGCCGCGUGGGGGAUGACGGCCUUCGGGUUGUAAACUCCUUUCGCUAGGGACGAAGCGUUUUUGUGACGGUACCUGGAGAAGAAGCACCGGCUAACUACGUG